This 505-nucleotide ribosomal RNA is filed under the name uncultured soil bacterium. Its description in RNAcentral is "bacterial SSU rRNA". It matches the Rfam family "Bacterial small subunit ribosomal RNA", at positions 27 to 523 of the family's 1533-position model. The record is from RNAcentral.
GGAUUGAACGCCGGCGGCAGGCCUAACACAUGCAAGUCGAGCGGUAGAGAGGUGCUUGCACCUCUUGAGAGCGGCGGACGGGUGAGUAAUGCCUAGGAAUCUGCCUAGUGGUGGGGGAUAACGUUCGGAAACGGACGCUAAUACCGCAUACGUCCUACGGGAGAAAGCGGGGGACCUUCGGGCCUCGCGCCAUUAGAUGAGCCUAGGUCGGAUUAGCUAGUUGGUGAGGUAAUGGCUCACCAAGGCGACGAUCCGUAACUGGUCUGAGAGGAUGAUCAGUCACACUGGAACUGAGACACGGUCCAGACUCCUACGGGAGGCAGCAGUGGGGAAUAUUGGACAAUGGGCGAAAAGCCUGAUCCAGCCAUGCCGCGUGUGUGAAGAAGGUCUUCGGAUUGUAAAGCGCUUUAAGUUGGAGGAAGGUUGUAACUUAAUACGUUGCAACUUUGACGUUACCGACAGAAUAAAGCAACCGGCUAACUUACGCGCCAAGUAGCCGCGGUAA